CUUAAAUCUCCCGAAUGCGGUCAGCGGGACUUAUGUGUGAAUUGCCUGGAACUGUUUUCGGCAUGGCAAUCACGUGAACGGCUGGUCAGUAUGGAAGUCCCUACUGACUACUUUCCAUUCAAUGUAUCAAACCGGCAUUCGGGAGUUUUUUUAUCUACCGAACAAGGGGAGCAUUCGCAUGUAACAAGCUGCAACAUACGUACGGUAGUUUUCGUGUAAUUAGGCGCAAAUGGAGACCAGCUCUUGCUGUUGAUUUCAUGGAACUCUAAAUCGGAAACCACCACAUGGCGAGCCGGUCAAACUUCCACACGAUGCGACACGGAAACUCAAACUGAUUUUUGUGAAAUUUGGAUCUGUGACUCCCAGUGUCCUCUGCUACCCAGGGAUGUGAUUGUUAUAUUUAUAUGUUAUGCAGAAAGUACUUUUCUAAAAAUUUUAAUAUUUCUGGCCAGCAGAUAAUUGAGUUUAGUAUGUUGCUAAAAACUCAAUUAUUCAGCCUGGCCCAGAGGAGGAGUCUG
Pelobates cultripes (western spadefoot toad) is the source of this 518-nucleotide non-coding RNA. The record is from the annotation of a GenBank genome assembly. NCBI's taxonomy places the organism in Eukaryota, Metazoa, Chordata, Amphibia, Anura, Pelobatidae.